AGUGAACGCUGGCGGUAGGCCUAACACAUGCAAGUCGAACGGCAGCACAGUAAGAGCUUGCUCUUACGGGUGGCGAGUGGCGGACGGGUGAGGAAUACAUCGGAAUCUACUUUUUCGUGGGGGAUAACGUAGGGAAACUUACGCUAAUACCGCAUACGACCUCGGGUGAAAGCAGGGGAUCUUCGGACCUUGCGCGAUUGAAUGAGCCGAUGUCGGAUUAGCUAGUUGGCGGGGUAAAGGCCCACCAAGGCGACGAUCCGUAGCUGGUCUGAGAGGAUGAUCAGCCACACUGGAACUGAGACACGGUCCAGACUCCUACGGGAGGCAGCAGUGGGGAAUAUUGGACAAUGGGCGCAAGCCUGAUCCAGCCAUACCGCGUGGGUGAAGAAGGCCUUCGGGUUGUAAAGCCCUUUUGUUGGGAAAGAAAAGCAGCAGGUUAAUACCCCGCUGUUCUGACGGUACCCAAAGAAUAAGCACCGGCUAACUUCGUG
Molecule: ribosomal RNA, 491 nt
Filed under: uncultured bacterium
Lineage: Bacteria
Description: partial 16S ribosomal RNA
Rfam family: Bacterial small subunit ribosomal RNA
Source: RNAcentral